Molecule: small RNA, 28 nt
Filed under: Arabidopsis thaliana (thale cress)
Lineage: Eukaryota; Viridiplantae; Streptophyta; Magnoliopsida; Brassicales; Brassicaceae
Description: ATSL112990
Source: RNAcentral
AGAAAAAAUGAAAAAGAAGAAGAAAAAC